This 3048-nucleotide ribosomal RNA is filed under the name Triticum aestivum (bread wheat). Its description in RNAcentral is "partial small subunit ribosomal RNA". Lineage: Eukaryota; Viridiplantae; Streptophyta; Magnoliopsida; Poales; Poaceae. The record is from RNAcentral.
AUGAUCGCCCCCUCCUCUGCGCAAUCAUUGCUUAAGGGUGGCAGCGAGAGCCAUCUAGGUAGGGCGAUCUCCUUAGAGUUUCGGUGGGGGCGCUCCAAAAUGAUGUGCUCCAGAAUGAGGUUUAGGAAUGCUCUUGGUUCUCGGCUCUUCCGCUGGUGUUCACGUGAUAAACACACGUCCGUGCGGAAGCUGCUGGAGGUGGAUGGGAUAUCAGAGAGAUCAAAGCUCCUCAACAAAGUGCCUGUUUUGAUGGGCUAUAGUAACACACAAUAUUUAAUGGAGCAAGAAAGAGUCCGCAAAGAAUCUGCCACGGAGUUGAUCAGUGUCUUGAAAGAAAUUGAUUUUGCAGAAAUUUUGGCUAAAUUCCCAUGCAUAAAAUUCGGUGAUUCAUCACCAAUUGAACUAUAUGAUGAUUCUGCUGGUAUGGAGUGCAAAGAAACCAUGUUUUCUGGAAACCUCACGAAUUUCAUCCUAGUAUCUGGUGGAAAUUUGGAGACAAAUCGUGAAUUUGCUGACAAGUGCCACCCAUCAGGUCCAUCUCCAGCAAAUGUAAAUGAUCUUUCAAUCAGUGAAGAGAGUUCUCUCAUCACUCGGCAUAUUUCUGGUGAACCAGCAGUUGAUGGGGAAGUUUGCCCCGAGUCAUUAGCUGAUGCUACAACUGCUGAUGGUAAUGUCUUGGACAAAAGUAAAAGGUGUUUGCCUGGAGAACCGGCAGUUGUUACAGAAGCUUGUCCAGAGUCAUUAGCUGAUGCUACAAGUCCUGAUAAUAAUAUCUUGGACAAAGAUAUAAGGUCCUUGCCUGGAACAACUAGUAAGCAAUAUCGUAAGCUAGAGGACGGUGGUUUCCAUACGAUCCGCAAAUUGCUGCAGCAUUUCCCCAGGACCUAUGCAGAUCUACAAAAUCCUCAAGGUCUAAUAGAAGAUGGGCAGUACAUCAUGUUCUUUGGAACUGUUAUAUCUUCCAAGGGAGUCAGGAUUAGAAGUACUUUAGGUUUCGUUGAGGUUGUUGUUGGUUGUUCAAUAGUUGAGGCCAAGUUAAGCUCUUCAGAUGUGAGUUGUAACUCUGGAGCAGAGCAAAAACAGAGGAUUCAUUUGCACCUCAAGAAGUUUUUCAGUGGCCAACGUUUCUCUUCUCAAUAUUUUCUUAACUGUAUAUCAUCAAAACACAAAGAGGGGGAUAUUGUGUAUGUCAGUGGUAAGGUCAAGAAGGUACUUUCUAGUGGGCAUUAUGAUUUGAAGGAGUACACUAUUGACAAGCUCGAAGAAGAGGAGCAACAAAGCGCCCUGCUUGAUAGGAAACCAUAUCCUAUAUAUCCAUCAAAAGCGGGACUGGAAGCACGUUUGCUGGGACAGUCCAUCUCUAGGGCCUUGAAGAUGCUGACUCCAGACAUUGAUCCUAUCCCUCCUGAGGUUCUCACUGAGUUCAACUUGGCAAAUCUGUUUGAUGCUUACAUGGGGAUUCACAAACCUAAGAAUCGAGAUGAAGCUGAUUUUGCUCGCCGAAGGCUUAUAUUCGAUGAUUUCUUUUAUCUCCAGCUGGGAAGACUAUUUCAAAUGCUUGAAGCAGUUGGUACACGGGUUGAAAAGGAAGAAUUGCUAUAUAAGUGUGAAAAUCAUGAGUUAAAUGCUGUUGGUGUCGAUCAGUGGUCUCCUCUGGCCAAUAAAUUGUUGAAGUCUCUCCCUUAUUCACUUACUGCUAGUCAACUAAAUGCUGUUAAAGAGAUUAUAUGGGAUCUCAGAAGACCAGUUCCUAUGAACAGGCUCUUGCAAGGGGAUGUUGGUUGUGGUAAAACUAUUGUUGCUUUCCUAGCAUGUAUGGAGGUUGUUAACUCAGGAUUUCAGGCUGCUUUCAUGGUUCCAACUGAGAUACUUGCUGUUCAGCAUUAUGAACACCUGACUUCAUUGCUGGAGAAGUUAGAUGGAGAUGAAUGCAAACCAAAUAUUGCCUUGCUAACUGGUUCAACUUCCACCAGAGAGUCGAGGAUAAUUCGGAAUGGUCUCAAGACUGGAGAAAUAUCAAUGGUCAUUGGAACACACACCUUAAUAGCUGAUAAAACUGACUUUUCAGCUUUACGUAUCUCUGUUAUAGAUGAGCAGCAACGUUUUGGUGUUAUCCAACGAGGAAGGUUCAAUAAUAAGCUGUAUACUUCGUCUUCAAAGCUGAGUGAUGAAAAUACAAGCGAAGAUGCGGCUUCUGAUUCUGAAACAUUUAUGGCUCCCCAUGUUCUUGCUAUGUCAGCUACCCCAAUUCCAAGAACACUGGCUCUUGCUUUAUAUGGGGAUAUGUCUCUUACUCAGAUUACAGAUUUGCCUCCAGGAAGGCAACCCAUAGAAACUCUUGCUCUUGAAGGAAAUGACGCUGGGUUUGAAACUGUUUUCCAGAUGAUGAGGGAUGAGCUUAUGGAUGGGGGCAAAGUGUAUCUCGUUUAUCCUAUCAUAGAAGAAUCAGAGCACCUACCACAACUUCAUGCUGCCAAAGCCGAUUUUGAUUCGAUAAAACAGAAGUUUGAAGGCUAUCCAUGUGGGUUGUUGCAUGGUCGCAUGAAGGGCCCAGAGAAGGAUGAAGCUCUGGGCAGUUUCAGAUCCGGGGAAACGCGUAUUCUCCUGGCAACGCAAGUUAUUGAGAUCGGAGUGGAUGUUCCUGAUGCUUCUAUGAUGAUUGUCAUGAAUGCCGAGAGAUUCGGAAUGUCUCAGCUGCACCAGUUAAGAGGGCGGGUCGGUCGCGGGGGAAAGAAAUCCAGAUGUGUGUUCCUGUCCUCCACUUCCAGCACAUUGCCAAGGUUGAAGGUGCUUGAAAAUUCAUCCGACGGGUUCCACCUAGCUAACGCCGACCUGGUGAUGCGUGGCCCUGGCGAUCUACUUGGCAAGAAACAGUCGGGGCAUCUUCCCGAGUUUCCAAUAGCCAGACUGGAGAUUGAUGGGAGUAUUCUGCAAGAAGCCCAUCUUGCUGCGCUAAAAGUUUUGGGAACAAGCAACGACCUGUCGAUGUUUCCACGUUUGAAAGUGGAGCUCAGCAUGAGGCAGCCGUUGUGCCUUCUGGGAGAUUGA